UACGUAGGGUGCAAGCGUUAAUCGGAAUUACUGGGCGUAAAGCGUGCGCAGGCGGUGAUGUAAGACAGCUGUGAAAUCCCCGGGCUCAACCUGGGAACUGCAUUUGUGACUGCAUCGCUGGAGUGCGGCAGAGGGGGAUGGAAUUCCGCGUGUAGCAGUGAAAUGCGUAGAUAUGCGGAGGAACACCGAUGGCGAAGGCAAUCCCCUGGGCCUGCACUGACGCUCAUGCACGAAAGCGUGGGGAGCAAACAGG
RNAcentral lists this ribosomal RNA (253 nucleotides) under uncultured bacterium. RNAcentral's name for it is "partial 16S ribosomal RNA". It matches the Rfam family "Bacterial small subunit ribosomal RNA", at positions 524 to 776 of the family's 1533-position model. The record is from RNAcentral.